GUCCACGCCGUAAACGAUGGGUGCUAGGUGUCGCGGGCUUUGACCCCUGCGGUGCCGUAGCUAACGCAUUAAGCACCCCGCCUGGGGAGUACGGCCGCAAGGCUAAAACUCAAAGGAAUUGACGGGGGCCCGCACAAGCGGUGGAGCAUGUGGUUCAAUUCGACGCAACGCGCAGAACCUUACCUGGGCUAGAAAGUGUAGGGACUUGGUUGAAAAAUCGAGGUGCUCUUCGGAGAACCUACAGUUAGGUGCUGCAUGGCUGUCGU
RNAcentral lists this ribosomal RNA (266 nucleotides) under uncultured bacterium. RNAcentral's name for it is "partial 16S ribosomal RNA". It matches the Rfam family "Bacterial small subunit ribosomal RNA", at positions 793 to 1055 of the family's 1533-position model. The record is from RNAcentral.